UACGGAGGGUGCAAGCGUUACUCGGAAUUACUGGGCGUAAAGCGCACGCAGGUGGCUGAGUCAGUCGAUUGUGAAAGCCCUGGGCUUAACCUGGGAAUUGCAGUCGAUACUACUCGGCUUGAGUAUGGGAGAGGGCAGUGGAAUUCUCGGUGUAGCGGUGAAAUGCGUAGAUAUCGAGAGGAACACCGGUGGCGAAGGCGGCAUCCUGGACCGGUAUUGACGCUGAGGCGCGAAAGCUAGGGGAGCAAACGGG
This 253-nucleotide ribosomal RNA is filed under the name uncultured bacterium. RNAcentral describes it as "partial 16S ribosomal RNA". It matches the Rfam family "Bacterial small subunit ribosomal RNA", at positions 524 to 776 of the family's 1533-position model. The record is from RNAcentral.